Molecule: transfer RNA, 75 nt
Filed under: Desulfotomaculum sp.
Lineage: Bacteria; Bacillati; Bacillota; Clostridia; Eubacteriales; Desulfotomaculaceae
Description: tRNA-Thr
Rfam family: tRNA
About the family: Transfer RNA (tRNA) molecules are approximately 80 nucleotides in length. Their secondary structure includes four short double-helical elements and three loops (D, anti-codon, and T loops).
Source: RNAcentral
GCUGGGGUAGCUCAACGGCAGAGCAGCUGACUUGUAAUCAGCAGGUUGUGGGUUCAAAUCCCAUCCCCAGCUCCA